AGAGUUUGAUCCUGGCUCAGAAUCAACGCUGGCGGCGCGCUUAACACAUGCAAGUCGCACGAGAAAGUGGAGCAAUCCAUGAGUACAGUGGCGUACGGGUGAGUAACACGUGGAUUAUCUACCUUCUAGUGGGGAAUACCUCCGGGAAACUGGAGACAAUACCGCAUAAGCUCGUAAGAGGAAAGCAGCAAUGCGCUGGAAGAGGAGUCCGCGGCUGAUUAGCUAGUUGGCGGGGUAAUGGCCCACCAAGGCGAAGAUCGGUAGCCGGCCUGAGAGGGCACACGGCCACACUGGCACUGAAACACGGGCCAGACUCCUACGGGAGGCAGCAGUGGGGAAUCUUGCACAAUGGAGGAAACUCUGAUGCAGCGACGCCGCGUGAGCGAUGAAGCCCUUCGGGGUGUAAAGCUCUUUCGACGGGAACGAUAAUGACGUACCCGAAGAAG
Molecule: ribosomal RNA, 446 nt
Filed under: uncultured soil bacterium
Lineage: Bacteria
Description: bacterial SSU rRNA
Rfam family: Bacterial small subunit ribosomal RNA
Source: RNAcentral